GAUGAAGAACGUAGCAAAAUGCGAUAAGUACUGUGAAUUGCAGAAUUCAGUGAAUCAUCGAAUCUUUGAACGCACAUUGCGCCCGCUGGUAUUCCGGCGGGCAUGCCUGUUCGAGCGUCAUUUCAACCCUCAAGCCCCCGGGUUUGGUGUUGGGGAUCGGCUCUGCCCUUCUGGGCGGUGCCGCCCCCGAAAUACAUUGGCGGUCUCGCUGCAGCCUCCAUUGCGUAGUAGCUAACACCUCGCAACUGGAACGCGGCGCGGCCAUGCCGUAAAACCCCAACUUCUGAAUGUUGACCUCGGAUCAGGUAGGAAUACCCGCUGAACUUAAGCAUAUCAAUAAGCGGAGGA
Molecule: unclassified non-coding RNA, 348 nt
Filed under: soil metagenome
Description: partial contains 5.8S ribosomal RNA, internal transcribed spacer 2, and large subunit ribosomal RNA
Rfam family: 5.8S ribosomal RNA (bases 1-120)
Source: RNAcentral